UCCGACUUAACGUCGGCAGUCUCUCUAGAGUGCCCAACUAAAUGCUGGCAACUAAAGACAAGGGUUGCGCUCGUUACGGGACUUAACCCAACAUCUCACGACACGAGCUGACGACAGCCAUGCAGCACCUAUGCAGCGGCCCGAAGGCGACGACAUCUCUGCCGUCUUCCACUGCAUUUCGAACCCAGGUAAGGUUUUUCGCGUUGCAUCGAAUUAAACCACAUGCUCCACCGCUUGUGCGGGCCCCCGUCAAUUUCUUUGAGUUUUAACCUUGCGGCCGUACUUCCCAGGCGGGAUACUUAACGCGUUUGCUUCGGCACUGAAGGGGUCAAUACCUCCAACACCAAGUAUCCAUCGUUUACGGUGCGGACUAC
This 374-nucleotide unclassified non-coding RNA is filed under the name uncultured Pseudobdellovibrionaceae bacterium. RNAcentral describes it as "uncultured Bdellovibrionaceae bacterium contains 16S-23S intergenic spacer region". The record is from RNAcentral. Lineage: Bacteria; Pseudomonadati; Bdellovibrionota; Bdellovibrionia; Bdellovibrionales; Pseudobdellovibrionaceae.